Centropristis striata (black sea bass) is the source of this 784-nucleotide long non-coding RNA. RefSeq lists it as uncharacterized. The transcript is spliced from 3 exons. Lineage: Eukaryota; Metazoa; Chordata; Actinopteri; Perciformes; Serranidae. The record is from RefSeq and is a predicted model, not a curated record.
UAAGUGUUACCCAUGAUUGAAGUAUAUUGAUAUCACAGAUAUCUGUGUUAACGAGCAGUUGAACAGGUGUACAUAAUAAAGUGGCCGGUGAGUGAAAACUCCCUUUCCAUUUCAACCAAUGUCAGUUUGCUGCUGAUCUAAUUGGCGACAGGUUCCACGAUGUGUCCAGCACCUGGUUGUAGUCUCUGUUAGAGGAAGUGCUGACAGACGGUUGUCUCCAGCAGCGUGCUCCCAGUUAUUACAGCGAUCCAUCAAAGGCCUAAUCCUUUUACAGGGUGUGAGUCAGCACGCUGCACCAGUCGCUGUGUGUCAUCAGCCGAGUCCAGAACACGUCUGUCACGCAGUCGCACCGCUGUCAAAUUUGUAAAGCUCAGCAGGAUUGUUGCACACUCUGUGUCAUAUUGACCCGCACGUCCCAGUAAGGUGACUGGAGCAUGUCUCUUAGCCAGAACUUUUCUGCUGGUGGGAAGCUCUGGAAGUUCAAAGUCAGCUGCUUUGCAUUCAUUUGCUACAAUCUGUUCCAGAAGCUGCUACCUGGAGAGCAGUGUGUCUGACUGACUGACUGACUGACUGACUGGGGCUCAAACCAACUCACGCUGUAACAACUCAUUCAAAUAUUUAAUCACAGUUAAUCUCAUGAUUGUUUAUAGAUAAUCGCAAAUUAAUUGCACAUUUCAUAUCUGUUUAAAGGGAGAUUUUUUAACUAUUUGUGCUUUUAUCAACAUGGGUUUGGAUAAAUAUGCUGGUUUUAUGCAAAUGUUUGUUAAAUCAAUUAAUAGAACUG